UCCCUGGUGGCUCAAAUGGUAAAGUGUCUGUCUACAAUGCAGGAGGUCCAGGUUCGAUCCCUGGGUUGGGAA
RNAcentral lists this transfer RNA (72 nucleotides) under Ovis aries (sheep). It matches the Rfam family "tRNA". Rfam says of the family: Transfer RNA (tRNA) molecules are approximately 80 nucleotides in length. Their secondary structure includes four short double-helical elements and three loops (D, anti-codon, and T loops). Lineage: Eukaryota; Metazoa; Chordata; Mammalia; Artiodactyla; Bovidae. The record is from Rfam by way of RNAcentral.